RNAcentral lists this unclassified non-coding RNA (358 nucleotides) under soil metagenome. RNAcentral describes it as "partial contains 5.8S ribosomal RNA, internal transcribed spacer 2, and large subunit ribosomal RNA". The stretch from base 1 to 120 matches the Rfam family "5.8S ribosomal RNA", at positions 35 to 154 of the family's 154-position model. The record is from RNAcentral.
GAUGAAGAACGCAGCGAAAUGCGAUAAGUAAUGUGAAUUGCAGAAUUCAGUGAAUCAUCGAAUCUUUGAACGCACAUUGCGCCCGUCAGUAUUCUGGCGGGCAUGCCUGUUCGAGCGUCAUUACGCCCCUCAAGUCCCCUGUGGACUUGGUGUUGGGGAUCGGCGAGGCUGGUUUUCCAGCACAGCCGUCCCUUAAAUUAAUUGGCGGUCUCGCCGUGGCCCUCCUCUGCGCAGUAGUAAAACACUCGCAACAGGAGCCCGGCGCGGUCCACUGCCGUAAAACCCCCCAACUUUUUAUAGUUGACCUUGAAUCAGGUAGGACUACCCGCUGAACUUAAGCAUAUCAAUAAGCGGAGGA